AUACUUACCUGGCAGGGGAGAUACCGUGCUCACAAAGGUGGUUUUCCCAGGGCAAGGCUUAUCCAUUGUACUCCAGAUGUGCUGACCCCUGUGAUUUCCCCAAAUGUGGGAGACUCAACUGCAUAAUUUGUGGUAGUGAAGGACUGCAUUUGCGCUCUCCCCCG
Small nuclear RNA from Otolemur garnettii (small-eared galago), 164 nucleotides. Its record names the gene U1. It matches the Rfam family "U1 spliceosomal RNA". From Rfam's summary of the family: U1 is a small nuclear RNA (snRNA) component of the spliceosome (involved in pre-mRNA splicing). Its 5' end forms complementary base pairs with the 5' splice junction, thus defining the 5' donor site of an intron. Lineage: Eukaryota; Metazoa; Chordata; Mammalia; Primates; Galagidae. The record is from Ensembl.